UGAGCGGUUUUGGGGGAUUAUUUCCAGGGCGGGGGGGCAGCCUAUUUUUUUCGACGGAACGUGGAAACCUUUUCCAGGUGGUUACUUCUUUUGGCAACCUUAGAGAUAGGGCUUCCCCUUCGGGGGCAGAGUGACAGGUGGCGCAUGGUUGUUGUCAUAUCAAAACCUGAGAUGUUGGGUUAGGUCCCGCAACGAGCGCAACCCUUGAUUUUAGUUGCCAGCAUUCAGUGGGGCACUUUAAGGUGACUGCCGGGGACAAACCGGAGGAAGGUGGGGAUGACGUCAAAUCAUCAUGCCCCUUAUGACCUGGGCUACACACGUGCUACAAUGGGCAGAACAAAGGGCAGCGAAGCCGCGAGGCUAAGCCAAUCCCACAAAUCUGUUCUCAGUUCGGAUCGCAGUCUGCAACUCGACUGCGUGAAGCUGGAAUCGCUAGUAAUCGCGGAUCAGCAUGCCGCGGUGAAUACGUUCCCGGGCCUUGUACACACCGCCCGUCACACCACGAGAGUUUGUAACACCCGAAGUCGGUGAGGUA
This 535-nucleotide ribosomal RNA is filed under the name uncultured Bacillus sp. RNAcentral describes it as "bacterial SSU rRNA". It matches the Rfam family "Bacterial small subunit ribosomal RNA", at positions 901 to 1437 of the family's 1533-position model. Lineage: Bacteria; Bacillati; Bacillota; Bacilli; Caryophanales; Bacillaceae. The record is from RNAcentral.